GCGUAAAGCGCGCGCAGGUGGUUUCUUAAGUCUGAUGUGAAAGCCCACGGCUCAACCGUGGAGGGUCAUUGGAAACUGGGAGACUUGAGUGCAGAAGAGGAAAGUGGAAUUCCAUGUGUAGCGGUGAAAUGCGUAGAGAUAUGGAGGAACACCAGUGGCGAAGGCGACUUUCUGGUCUGUAACUGACACUGAGGCGCGAAAGCGUGGGGAGCAAACAGGAUUAGAUACCCUGGUAGUCCACGCCGUAAACGAUGAGUGCUAAGUGUUAGAGGGUUUCCGCCCUUUAGUGCUGAAGUUAACGCAUUAAGCACUCC
Molecule: ribosomal RNA, 314 nt
Filed under: Bacillus paramycoides
Lineage: Bacteria; Bacillati; Bacillota; Bacilli; Caryophanales; Bacillaceae
Description: bacterial SSU rRNA
Rfam family: Bacterial small subunit ribosomal RNA
Source: RNAcentral